Molecule: long non-coding RNA, 339 nt
Organism: Lineus longissimus
Lineage: Eukaryota; Metazoa; Nemertea; Pilidiophora; Heteronemertea; Lineidae
Exons: 3
Source: RefSeq, a predicted model, not a curated record
UUUCCUUAUCUGGUUGAUUUGCUUAUCUGUUACUAUCUACCUAAUUGAGACAUUCUACUUUGGAACUAAAGAGAAGGAGAGACUGCCGAGUUCAGUCCCUGUGGCUGAUAGAAGUGAUGCAGGGGUUCUUCAAGGUGAAAGUGCCGAUGAACCGAGUGAAGGGCUGCACGGACUGCCCCGCCGGAUGAAGGAGGAGGCUCUCUCUAAUCAGGACAAUAAGAAACGCGGACGUCCACGCGAGGUGAAAUACCCCAAAAUAGUUGAUACAGGCUUCAAAUGUAACUUGAAUAGGGCCUGUUCUCACGGGAAGUAUCCAUAUGCCGUGGUGUCGGGUUUUGG